UUGUUUUGUUUUCUGGUUUUCCGCUUGUUUUUGAGCUAAACUGAUGACUGACGCUGCUAAACGUUAGAAUKUAAUCGUUCAAUUACAGGAAGUACACGUGCCAUUUAUUUUACCCACUUGUUGAAGUUUCGUAUCAUUGACUAGAAAAGUUUUACAAGUUUGUUUCCCCAAAAGCCUGAAAUUGUCGGAAGAGGGCGCCAGAAGCACACUAAUAAUUUUGAAGAAUUGAACGACUCGAUGUGCCUCAGGCUGGUCUCUUUGGUCCGAUGGCUCCCAGCAGGUUGUUUCGCCCACGCACCCUGUCAUUUCAUCAGACAGAAACGGGUGGUAGAUGGAUCGCAAUGUGAGGAAGCACAACAACUAAGCAAACAUGGCACAAGAAGGAAACCUGCAGAGACAAACCAUAAUCUAAUUUAGCAAGUGCCUGUAAUCUAAUGUCUUUUAGAGCAGCAGUGUCUUGUUAACGCUUGCUGAUAAUAAAAAGAGUUGCAAAAGUA
Molecule: long non-coding RNA, 497 nt
Organism: Poecilia reticulata (guppy)
Lineage: Eukaryota; Metazoa; Chordata; Actinopteri; Cyprinodontiformes; Poeciliidae
Source: RefSeq, a predicted model, not a curated record